UACGGGGGGGGUAAGCGUUGUUCGGAAUUACUGGGCGUAAAGGGCUCGUAGGUGGCCAACUAAGUCAGACGUGAAAUCCCUCGGCUUAACCGGGGAACUGCGUCUGAUACUGGAUGGCUUGAGUUUGGGAGAGGGAUGCGGAAUUCCAGGUGUAGCGGUGAAAUGCGUAGAUAUCUGGAGGAACACCGGUGGCGAAGGCGGCAUCCUGGACCAAUACUGACGCUGAGGAGCGAAAGCCAGGGGAGCAAACGGG
Molecule: ribosomal RNA, 253 nt
Filed under: uncultured bacterium
Lineage: Bacteria
Description: partial 16S ribosomal RNA
Rfam family: Bacterial small subunit ribosomal RNA
Source: RNAcentral